RNAcentral lists this ribosomal RNA (301 nucleotides) under uncultured bacterium. RNAcentral describes it as "partial 16S ribosomal RNA". It matches the Rfam family "Bacterial small subunit ribosomal RNA", at positions 509 to 807 of the family's 1533-position model. The record is from RNAcentral.
CAGCAGCCGCGGUAAUACGUAGGUGGCAAGCGUUGUCCGGAAUUAUUGGGCGUAAAGGGCUCGCAGGCGGUUUCUUAAGUCUGAUGUGAAAGCCCCCGGCUCAACCGGGGAGGGUCAUUGGAAACUGGGAAACUUGAGUGCAGAAGAGGAGAGUGGAAUUCCACGUGUAGCGGUGAAAUGCGUAGAGAUGUGGAGGAACACCAGUGGCGAAGGCGACUCUCUGGUCUGUAACUGACGCUGAGGCACGAAUGCGUGGGGAGCAAACAGGAUUAGAUACCCCAGUAGUCCCUGUCUCUUAUAC